GGAACUUCUUCGGAAGUGGAACUAGCGGCGGACGGGUGAGUAACACGUGGGCAACCUGCCUCGUAGAGGGGAAUAGCCUUCCGAAAGGAAGAUUAAUACCGCAUAAGAUUGUAGCUUCGCAUGAAGCAGCAAUUAAAGGAGAAAUCCGCUACGAGAUGGGCCCGCGUCGCAUUAGCUAGUUGGUAAGGUAAUGGCUUACCAAGGCGACGAUGCGUAGCCGACCUGAGAGGGUGAUCGGCCACAUUGGGACUGAGACACGGCCCAGACUCCUACGGGAGGCAGCAGUGGGGAAUAUUGCACAAUGGGGGAAACCCUGAUGCAGCAACGCCGCGUGAGUGAUGACGGUCUUCGGAUUGUAAAGCUCUGUCUUCAGGGACGAUAAUGACGGUACCUGAGGAGGAAGCCACGGCUAACUACGUGCCAGCAGCCGCGGUAAUACGUAGGUGGCGAGCGUUGUCCGGAUUUACUGGGCGUAAAGGGAGCGUAGGCGGAUUCUUAAGUGGGAUGUGAAAUACUCGGGCUUAACCUGGGUGCUGCAUUUCAAACUGGGAAUCUAGAGUGCAGGAGAGGAAAGUGGAAUUCCUAGUGUAGCGGUGAAAUGCGUAGAGAUUAGGAAGAACACCAGUGGCGAAGGCGACUUUCUGGACUGUAACUGACGCUGAGGCUCGAAAGCGUGGGGAGCGAACAGGAUUAGAUACCCUGGUAGUCCACGCCGUAAAACGAUGAAUACUAGGUGUAGGGGUUGUCAUGACCUCUGUGCCGCCGCUAACGCAUUAAGUAUUCCGCCUGGGGGAGUACGGU
This 801-nucleotide ribosomal RNA is filed under the name uncultured bacterium. Its description in RNAcentral is "bacterial SSU rRNA". It matches the Rfam family "Bacterial small subunit ribosomal RNA", at positions 71 to 886 of the family's 1533-position model. The record is from RNAcentral.